GGCCGAGGAUCGGGGUCGCCCGGCGGGUUCCUGGUGGAGAGGGCAGGCGGUGGCAGGGGCCAGGCGUUCCGUAGCGUCAGGGAAGGGACCACCGAAGGCCUUGCCUGCGCGGUAGGGAGUGAAAAGUGGUCCUCCGGUCCCCAGGGGUGCCCCUGGCUGCCUCACAGAGCUCAGCUUCACGCUGUUCGCCGACGCGGCUCUUCUUCCAGAGCUUUAAGCCACUGAUGAGGACGUGAAGAGCAAUGGGUCAUGAAGUGGGUUUGAAACCCUGCGGGAAGCCCAGUCUACAGAGCGAGGCAGGUUUGGUGCGCUCGCACUAGCAGGGCUGACCUGGCACCGUGUGCUGUGCAGUUGGGGUUUCCUGAGUGUUGGCGACAUUGUGUAUGGAUGUGUUGCUCUGCGCAUGUUCCAGACAAGAAACAACAAAAAAGCACAAGUAAGUUUAGAACAUCCUUCUCAAACGCAGAGUAGAGUUUCUCAUGAAAUACGGAUCAGAGAAGAUAGUGGUUACAGAAGCCGUCAUGGCAGAGGUGAUAACUCAAAAGCAUUAGAGAUUGACUUGACCAGCGGUAAUCACUUGUGUCAGACAUUCACUGCGAAUGCUUCAAAGUGCUUUUUUGUCCACUACCAUGGCUUUAACAAAGCUCUCUAGGCCUUGGUUAGAUUGAGUUAGUUGAUCACACUCAAACAUUAGUUAGUUGAUCAUGUUCAAACAUUGGGCCAUCUGGGAAUUGAUGAUACAGCCACAUGAACUAAAGCGGAGAGGAAGCUAAAUGUCAUUUUUAGGCUGGCAGUGCCAGUAUCCACGUUUUCAGAGUAGUUCACCUCGUGGCUCCAUGUGAAUGUGGAAAAAGACUGGGGAGAGAACUGCUGCAUGCGCUUUCCCAUUAUUUUGGCCUUUGGUUAAAGGCCUUCAGAAAGUACUCAGUCCAUUUUAGCAAACUAUCUUUCACCUCUUUCUGAUACGACAGCCAGUACUGUGUUAGCAUUACAAACACUGUGGUACAGGCUCUGAAACAUGGAAAUGCCUUUUUGCCCUCUAUCUGCUGGCAAACAGUGAUCGUUUGUCAGUGCUGCUAAAGUAAUUUUAGUUCACUCUCCUUCCCUGACCUGAAUUUGGAGUCAUGAAUUCAGUUUCAUGGACAGUAAUUUCAGUCAUCUAACUAAUGACAUCUCAGAAUUUAUCCAGUCUUCCAUUAGCAUGUGUUGUUCAGCGAGUGUCAUUCUGUGAAGUGUUUGGGACAUCUUCAGGAAUGUGCCACCUGAGUCCUUAGCAGGAUACAAACCCUUCAAAAACACCUUCUCUGGGGAACACAAAUGUCUGCUCAUAACAAAAUCACCCAAGAGUGCAACAUGCAGGGUGAAUGGUUUCCAUCUCCACAGACUAAUGCACACUGCAAAAUCUUUUUCCUAUCCCCAGAGACCUAGAAAGUAGCUCAUACGGGAAGAUCCAUUCUAAUCCCCAGAUACUGUAAAACAUAGCAGCAAAAUCCCUCUAUCAUCAUACACAAACACACACUGCAAAAUCCCACUUCUGCUGUAGAGAUGUAAAACUCUCAGCAAAUUCCCAUCCCCUAUUUCUACUUCCCUCUAGACAGACAAAAUGUUUUCCAUCCCAGUCUUCUAGUUUGACACUGAAUAUUUGCACAAACACAUUAAGAGAGCUCCCCUGUCUGUGUCGGCCAAUAACAAGCACUUCGUGAAUGCUGCAACAUCUCAGAAACAUUGUAAAGGAUGGCUGAGAGAUUUGAAUUCUGAAUGCCAGAUCCCUUCAUGCUGAACACACGACCACAACACAGAUGACAUUCCUGACGGGAACAGAUACAACUGCAGUGAGAAUGGAGAACUGUUCUCAUGUGACUGCAAGCACGCAAUGCUGAUGGGGAAGUUAAGUGUCCUUAGCCACCCCUUCUCUCCCUGCAGUAAAUUCACUCCAUGUGUGCCGUGCCAGGAGUGCAGAGUGACAAGAUCCCAUGGCACUUUUGCAACAAUAACAGGUAUCCUGGUCCCCUGAAAACUUUUUAAGUAAUGGAAUUACAUUAUGUGCUUUAGUGGUUAGUAUUUUCCUCAUGGUUCCAGCUGAAUAAGUUAUACUUCAUUUUUCUUCCCUUCCAAACAUUCUUCUGUAGUGUUAGUAGCACUGAUUAAAAAGAUAGACCCAUAUCUAAGUGAAAUCCUAUCAUUUUGACUUUUUACCUAUAUCUUUAUAUACAUACAUAUAUAUACACAUUUAUAUAUGUAUUUUGCCUAUAAUAUAUUUAUUGUAGGAUUUCCUGAAAUGUUAUUACUAGUGCUU
Egretta garzetta (little egret) is the source of this 2296-nucleotide long non-coding RNA. RefSeq lists it as uncharacterized. NCBI's taxonomy places the organism in Eukaryota, Metazoa, Chordata, Aves, Pelecaniformes, Ardeidae. The record is from RefSeq and is a predicted model, not a curated record. The transcript has 3 exons.